GGGUGUUAGAGAGGACUUUGAAACGU
Molecule: non-coding RNA, 26 nt
Filed under: Cricetulus griseus (Chinese hamster)
Lineage: Eukaryota; Metazoa; Chordata; Mammalia; Rodentia; Cricetidae
Source: RNAcentral